GACGAAGGUGGCGAGCGUUACUCGGAAUACUAGGCGUAAAGCGUGAGCAGGCGGUUCGGUAAGUCUGUUGUGAAAGCCCCCAGGCUCAACCUGGGGAGGUCAAUGGAUACUGCCGGACUUGAAUACGGGAGAGGUCGCUGGAAUUCCUGGUGUAGCGGUGAAAUGCGUAGAUAUCAUUUGGAACGCCAAUGGUGAAAACAGGUUGCUGGGAGUGUGCUGACGCUGAGACACGAAAGCCAGGGGAGCGAACAGG
Molecule: ribosomal RNA, 253 nt
Filed under: uncultured bacterium
Lineage: Bacteria
Description: partial 16S ribosomal RNA
Rfam family: Bacterial small subunit ribosomal RNA
Source: RNAcentral